This is a long non-coding RNA of Rhododendron vialii, 541 nucleotides long. RefSeq lists it as uncharacterized. The transcript is spliced from 3 exons. The record is from RefSeq and is a predicted model, not a curated record. NCBI's taxonomy places the organism in Eukaryota, Viridiplantae, Streptophyta, Magnoliopsida, Ericales, Ericaceae.
UUUGGUGCACAAAAGCAACUCGACAGAGUAAAGGCUUUUUGUGUGUGUGUGUAAGUUAACAAAGGCUAACAUUUGAAGGCUGAUUUGUUGGAUCUAUUGACUGAGUUGAAGGUAUUGGGUUCUUCUCUGUGACAUACAAUCCGGGUAAAAGGGUCCAAAGGUGGAAAGAAGAAUGGUGGUUAUGGAUUUCAUCUUGGGUAGUGCAGACAACCUCUCCAAAUUCCAUUGCGGAGUGGCCGUGCUAGCACUGACAUUGGUAUUGUGCAAGAAGCAUGUAUGGGGCCAAUUCGGGAAAAGAGUAUGCACAAUGUCAAGAAAUAGCUUAGUCAACUUAGAAGGGGAAAACAUGAUACUGUAGAAGCAUCGACUCUUGGGAAAGAAAUUACUUUGUCUUGUAAUUUUAGGAUAUUCAAUUAAUGUAAAUUUUUUUAUUACCCUUUGGAUAUAUGGAUGCAUUUUGUUCAAGUACAGUUUGUAAGUGUAAUUGUAAUUUUACUUGUUGAAUGAAUUUUUGAUACAAUUGAGAUGGAUUUGGAUGGAA